AGCGUACACGGUGGAUGCCCUGGCAGUCAGAGGCGAUGAAGGACGUGCUAAUCUGCGAUAAGCGUCGGUAAGGUGAUAUGAACCGUUAUAACCGGCGAUUUCCGAAUGGGGAAACCCAGUGUGAUUCGUCACACUAUCAUUAACUGAAUCCAUAGGUUAAUGAGGCGAACCGGGGGAACUGAAACAUCUAAGUACCCCGAGGAAAAGAAAUCAACCGAGAUUCCCCCAGUAGCGGCGAGCGAACGGGGAGCAGCCCAGAGCCUGAAUCAGUGUGUGUGUUAGUGGAAGCGUCUGGAAAGGCGCGCGAUACAGGGUGACAGCCCCGUACACAAAAAUGCACAUGCUGUGAGCUCGAUGAGUAGGGCGGGACACGUGGUAUCCUGUCUGAAUAUGGGGGGACCAUCCUCCAAGGCUAAAUACUCCUGACUGACCGAUAGUGAACCAGUACCGUGAGGGAAAGGCGAAAAGAACCCCGGCGAGGGGAGUGAAAAAGAACCUGAAACCGUGUACGUACAAGCAGUGGGAGCACAGAGCAAUCUGUGUGACUGCGUACCUUUUGUAUAAUGGGUCAGCGACUUAUAUUCUGUAGCAAGGUUAACCGAAUAGGGGAGCCGAAGGGAAACCGAGUCUUAACUGGGCGUUAAGUUGCAGGGUAUAGACCCGAAACCCGGUGAUCUAGCCAUGGGCAGGUUGAAGGUUGGGUAACACUAACUGGAGGACCGAACCGACUAAUGUUGAAAAAUUAGCGGAUGACUUGUGGCUGGGGGUGAAAGGCCAAUCAAACCGGGAGAUAGCUGGUUCUCCCCGAAAGCUAUUUAGGUAGCGCCUCGUGAAUUCAUCUCCGGGGGUAGAGCACUGUUUCGGCAAGGGGGUCAUCCCGACUUACCAACCCGAUGCAAACUGCGAAUACCGGAGAAUGUUAUCACGGGAGACACACGGCGGGUGCUAACGUCCGUCGUGAAGAGGGAAACAACCCAGACCGCCAGCUAAGGUCCCAAAGUCAUGGUUAAGUGGGAAACGAUGUGGGAAGGCCCAGACAGCCAGGAUGUUGGCUUAGAAGCAGCCAUCAUUUAAAGAAAGCGUAAUAGCUCACUGGUCGAGUCGGCCUGCGCGGAAGAUGUAACGGGGCUAAACCAUGCACCGAAGCUGCGGCAGCGACGCUUAUGCGUUGUUGGGUAGGGGAGCGUUCUGUAAGCCUGUGAAGGUGUACUGUGAGGUAUGCUGGAGGUAUCAGAAGUGCGAAUGCUGACAUAAGUAACGAUAAAGCGGGUGAAAAGCCCGCUCGCCGGAAGACCAAGGGUUCCUGUCCAACGUUAAUCGGGGCAGGGUGAGUCGACCCCUAAGGCGAGGCCGAAAGGCGUAGUCGAUGGGAAACAGGUUAAUAUUCCUGUACUUGGUGUUACUGCGAAGGGGGGACGGAGAAGGCUAUGUUGGCCGGGCGACGGUUGUCCCGGUUUAAGCGUGUAGGCUGGUUUUCCAGGCAAAUCCGGAAAAUCAAGGCUGAGGCGUGAUGACGAGGCACUACGGUGCUGAAGCAACAAAUGCCCUGCUUCCAGGAAAAGCCUCUAAGCAUCAGGUAACAUCAAAUCGUACCCCAAACCGACACAGGUGGUCAGGUAGAGAAUACCAAGGCGCUUGAGAGAACUCGGGUGAAGGAACUAGGCAAAAUGGUGCCGUAACUUCGGGAGAAGGCACGCUGAUAUGUAGGUGAAGUCCCUCGCGGAUGGAGCUGAAAUCAGUCGAAGAUACCAGCUGGCUGCAACUGUUUAUUAAAAACACAGCACUGUGCAAACACGAAAGUGGACGUAUACGGUGUGACGCCUGCCCGGUGCCGGAAGGUUAAUUGAUGGGGUUAGCGCAAGCGAAGCUCUUGAUCGAAGCCCCGGUAAACGGCGGCCGUAACUAUAACGGUCCUAAGGUAGCGAAAUUCCUUGUCGGGUAAGUUCCGACCUGCACGAAUGGCGUAAUGAUGGCCAGGCUGUCUCCACCCGAGACUCAGUGAAAUUGAACUCGCUGUGAAGAUGCAGUGUACCCGCGGCAAGACGGAAAGACCCCGUGAACCUUUACUAUAGCUUGACACUGAACAUUGAGCCUUGAUGUGUAGGAUAGGUGGGAGGCUUUGAAGUGUGGACGCCAGUCUGCAUGGAGCCGGCCUUGAAAUACCACCCUUUAAUGUUUGAUGUUCUAACGUGGACCCGUAAUCCGGGUUGCGGACAGUGUCUGGUGGGUAGUUUGACUGGGGCGGUCUCCUCCUAAAGAGUAACGGAGGAGCACGAAGGUUGGCUAAUCCUGGUCGGACAUCAGGAGGUUAGUGCAAUGGCAUAAGCCAGCUUGACUGCGAGCGUGACGGCGCGAGCAGGUGCGAAAGCAGGUCAUAGUGAUCCGGUGGUUCUGAAUGGAAGGGCCAUCGCUCAACGGAUAAAAGGUACUCCGGGGAUAACAGGCUGAUACCGCCCAAGAGUUCAUAUCGACGGCGGUGUUUGGCACCUCGAUGUCGGCUCAUCACAUCCUGGGGCUGAAGUAGGUCCCAAGGGUAUGGCUGUUCGCCAUUUAAAGUGGUACGCGAGCUGGGUUUAGAACGUCGUGAGACAGUUCGGUCCCUAUCUGCCGUGGGCGCUGGAGAACUGAGGGGGGCUGCUCCUAGUACGAGAGGACCGGAGUGGACGCAUCACUGGUGUUCGGGUUGUCAUGCCAAUGGCACUGCCCGGUAGCUAAAUGCGGAAGAGAUAAGUGCUGAAAGCAUCUAAGCACGAAACUUGCCCCGAGAUGAGUUCUCCCUGACUCCUUGA
RNAcentral lists this ribosomal RNA (2789 nucleotides) under Escherichia coli. Its description in RNAcentral is "bacterial LSU rRNA". It matches the Rfam family "Bacterial large subunit ribosomal RNA". The record is from RNAcentral. Lineage: Bacteria; Pseudomonadati; Pseudomonadota; Gammaproteobacteria; Enterobacterales; Enterobacteriaceae. RNAcentral also lists the same sequence under 1 other name.